UGGGGAAUAUUGCACAAUGGGCGGAAGCCUGAUGCAGCGACGCCGCGUGAGGGAUGACGGCCUUCGGGUUGUAAACCUCUUUCAGUAGGGACGAAGCGUAAGUGACGGUACCUGCAGAAGAAGCACCGGCUAACUACGUGCCAGCAGCCGCGGUAAUACGUAGGGGGCUAGCGUUAUCCGGAUUUACUGGGCGUAAAGGGUGCGUAGGUGGUCUUUCAAGUCGGUGGUUAAAGGCUACGGCUCAACCGUAGUUAGCCUCCGAAACUGGAAGACUUGAGUGCAGGAGAGGAAAGUGGAAUUCCCAGUGUAGCGGUGAAAUGCGUAGAUAUUGGGAGGAACACCAGUAGCGAAGGCGGCUUUCUGGACUGCAACUGACACUGAGGCACGAAAGCGUGGGUAGCAAACAGG
This 408-nucleotide ribosomal RNA is filed under the name Verrucomicrobiota bacterium. RNAcentral describes it as "Verrucomicrobia bacterium partial 16S ribosomal RNA". It matches the Rfam family "Bacterial small subunit ribosomal RNA", at positions 355 to 776 of the family's 1533-position model. The record is from RNAcentral. Lineage: Bacteria; Pseudomonadati; Verrucomicrobiota.